UGCAAGUCGAGCGAACGGACGAGAAGCUUGCUUCUCUGAUGUUAGCGGCGGACGGGUGAGUAACACGUGGAUAACCUACCUAUAAGACUGGGAUAACUUCGGGAAACCGGAGCUAAUACCGGAUAAUAUUUUGAACCGCAUGGUUCAAAAGUGAAAGACGGUCUUGCUGUCACUUAUAGAUGGAUCCGCGCUGCAUUAGCUAGUUGGUAAGGUAACGGCUUACCAAGGCAACGAUGCAUAGCCGACCUGAGAGGGUGAUCGGCCACACUGGAACUGAGACACGGUCCAGACUCCUACGGGAGGCAGCAGUAGGGAAUCUUCCGCAAUGGGCGAAAGCCUGACGGAGCAACGCCGCGUGAGUGAUGAAGGUCUUCGGAUCGUAAAACUCUGUUAUUAGGGAAGAACAUAUGUGUAAGUAACUGUGCACAUCUUGACGGUACCUAAUCAGAAAGCCACGGCUAACUACGUGCCAGCAGCCGCGGUAAUACGUAGGUGGCAAGCGUUAUCCGGAAUUAUUGGGCGUAAAGCGCGCGUAGGCGGUUUUUUAAGUUCUGAUGUGAAAGCCCCACGGCUCAACCCGUGGAGGGUCAUUGGAAACUGGAAAACUUGAGUGCAGAAGAGGAAAGUGGAAUUCCAUGUGUAGCGGUGAAAUGCGCAGAGAUAUGGAGGAACACCAGUGGCGAAGGCGACUUUCUGGUCUGUAACUGACGCUGAUGUGCGAAAGCGUGGGGAUCAAACAGGAUUAGAUACCCUGGUAGUCCACGCCGUAAACGAUGAGUGCUAAGUGUUAGGGGGUUUCCCGCCCCUUAGUGCUGCAGCUAACGCAUUAAGCACUCCGCCUGGGGAGUACGACCGCAAGGUUGAAACUCAAAGGAAUUGACGGGGACCCGCACAAGCGGUGGAGCAUGUGGUUUAAUUCGAAGCAACGCGAAGAACCUUACCAAAUCUUGACAUCCUUUGACAACUCUAGAGAUAGAGCUUUCCCCUUCGGGGGACAAAGUGACAGGUGGUGCAUGGUUGUCGUCAGCUCGUGUCGUGAGAUGUUGGGUUAAGUCCCGCAACGAGCGCAACCCUUAAGCUUAGUUGCCAUCAUUAAGUUGGGCACUCUAAGUUGACUGCCGGUGACAAACCGGAGGAAGGUGGGGAUGACGUCAAAUCAUCAUGCCCCUUAUGAUUUGGGCUACACACGUGCUACAAUGGACAAUACAAAGGGCAGCGAAACCGCGAGGUCAAGCAAAUCCCAUAAAGUUGUUCUCAGUUCGGAUUGUAGUCUGCAACUCGACUACAUGAAGCUGGAAUCGCUAGUAAUCGUAGAUCAGCAUGCUACGGUGAAUACGUUCCCGGGUCUUGUACACACCGCCCGUCACACCACGAGAGUUUGUAACACCCGAAGCCGGNUGGAGUAACCUUUUAGGAGCUAGCC
This 1423-nucleotide ribosomal RNA is filed under the name Staphylococcus aureus. RNAcentral describes it as "bacterial SSU rRNA". It matches the Rfam family "Bacterial small subunit ribosomal RNA". The record is from RNAcentral. Lineage: Bacteria; Bacillati; Bacillota; Bacilli; Caryophanales; Staphylococcaceae.